UGGCAGAUUUGAAUUUGAAAGCUUGAAUUAAUAUCAAAACUAAACAUAGACAAAAAUUAGACUAUGAAUUAAUUGGUUUAUUCAUUUAGACGUUUGAUACGAAUCUUCUUUACGCAUGUCUGAAAUGCUAGAAUAUUUUCUCCUUUUGUGGGCCGUUGGAAGGGAGUGGUGAGUCACAUGCAUCGUAUAAAAUUUAGAUCUAUAAGCAAAAUAUACAAACAUUAUAUAAACGUGAUAACGCCACAAAAAUCUGAAUUAUGGCAGUGAAAUACAUAGCAAAUCCUUAGAUUUUUUUAGCUAUUUAGUACGUAUCAAAACAUACUAAUACAUACAAAACACAAACAGAAUGAUACACCGAGUGUCGGUAUUUAAAUUCUUUUAUCAUGCAUGCAAUGCGCUCUUAAUUACGAGAAAGCGCUUUAAUUAAUAUACCAACAUUUUUGCUGUACUCGAUAACAUCAGCAAUAUUCCCUUAACGAUUUGCGUUUUAAUUAAGAAAUAAUUCUUUCAUGCCAUGCUCUAUGCUCAUUUUAACAUGGGUAGGCAUUAUAUUUGUUAAUAUCCUAAUACCGAGCGUUAGCGUGGUAUUAAAUGUUUACAAAUAUAAUGCCUACCCAUGUUAAAAUGAGCAUAGAGCAUGGCAUGAUAGAAUUAUUUCAAUUCUAAUAGGAAUAUUUUGAACUUUUGUACUUCGAAGCGGACCUAUAGUAGACGCUCGAAAUGUCGCCAUUUUGAUUUGAUGAACAAAAACGUUAUAGAAAAAUCAACAGUUUAUCAAUACAAAAAUAACAGAAACAUCUAAACUUUCUUUUAGAAUGUUUUUAUUUAAUUUCCUAGCGAGCAACACCAACUAAAAUGUCCAUUUUGAUCUCUGGCGUUGUUUCAAAAUUAUCUGAUGUUGCAAUUUCAAUUGUGACGUCAAUCAUUUACAGCCCAUGUUCUAUUCGAAUUAGAACAUGGCUUUGUAUCCAAAGCUAAAGAAGAAUGUCAUAUUAGAAUCAGUGAUAUGUUCAUAUGAAUGAUUUGUCUCACUAUCACAAUUGUUUAUAAAUAUCUGCUUUCUUACACAUGUUACAGAAGGGAUUCAAUCUUGUAAACAUUGUAACAGCGGUGCGCUUUGAUUAAAUACAAUUCUAUUUGACAUACAGGUAACCUUAUCAUUGUAAACUUUUUAUAUAUAUAUAUUUCGUUGGGCUUUCAAUAGAAUAAGUAUAUAACAUCCAAUGACCAUGCUGAAUAUAUAUUCAAGACAGCAUAUGACAAAGAUGCUUUGUUAGAUUUUCAACGUGUUCGUUGGGAUGACUUGUCAAUAUUCGUCGGUAGUGUGUCGAUGUUAAAAUCUCAUAAGUUGAAAUAAAUCUGGAAGACAAUUCGACCCUUUUUAUUUCAUCGAUAAAACACCUUUAGAUAAGUUACAUCUACGUCAGUUAUGUAAAUAUACACUUAGUAUAAGAAAAACUUCAUCAAAUUUAGGUGGAAGAGAUGAUUUCGUGAGCCUUCCUCUUGAACUAAAUAUUAAAUUUAAAUUUAUAUUGAGUAUUUUUAGAUUAUAUUCUGAUGACAUUAAUCCUCUUUUGAAUUAAUUCUUUAUUUUGUCUCAAAUCUAAGACUCUACAUGAAUUUAUCUUGGUUCUCAUAUGUUAACCAUGUAUUAGAAGAAACUG
RNAcentral lists this long non-coding RNA (1664 nucleotides) under Mytilus galloprovincialis (Mediterranean mussel). The record is from RNAcentral. Lineage: Eukaryota; Metazoa; Mollusca; Bivalvia; Mytilida; Mytilidae.